GCCAGGCACAGUGAUACAUGCCUGUAGUCCCAGCUCCUUGGGAGGCUGAGGUGGGAAGAUUGCUUGAGCCCAGGAGUUCUGGACUAUAGUGCACUGUGCCGAUCAGUUGUCCUCACUAAGUUCAGCAUCAAUAUGGUGACCUCCUGGGUAUGGGGGAUUAUCAGAUUGCCUAAGGAAGAAUGAAACAGCCCAGGUUGGAAGCAGAGCAGAUCAAAACUCCCAUGCUAAUCAGUAGUGGGAUCACACCUGUGAAUAUCCACUGUACUCCAACCUGGGCAACAUAGUGAGACCCUGUCUU
This 298-nucleotide signal recognition particle RNA is filed under the name Carlito syrichta (Philippine tarsier). RNAcentral describes it as "Metazoan signal recognition particle RNA (ENSTSYG00000035373.1)". It matches the Rfam family "Metazoan signal recognition particle RNA". From Rfam's summary of the family: The signal recognition particle (SRP) is a universally conserved ribonucleoprotein. It is involved in the co-translational targeting of proteins to membranes. The record is from RNAcentral. Lineage: Eukaryota; Metazoa; Chordata; Mammalia; Primates; Tarsiidae.